This 486-nucleotide ribosomal RNA is filed under the name uncultured bacterium. RNAcentral's name for it is "partial 16S ribosomal RNA". It matches the Rfam family "Bacterial small subunit ribosomal RNA", at positions 28 to 507 of the family's 1533-position model. The record is from RNAcentral.
GAUGAACGCUGGCGGCGUGCCUAAUACAUGCAAGUCGAACGCUGGAGAUCUAGCUUGCUAGAUCGAAGGAGUGGCGAACGGGUGAGUAAUACAUAAGCAACCUACCCACGAAGACUGGGAUAAUCUCUGGAAACGGGGACUAAUACCGGAUAGGUAAUCGGAAGGCAUCUUCUGGUUAUUAAAGGUUAAAAACACUGGUGGAUGGGCUUAUGGCGCAUUAGUUAGUUGGUGAGGUAACGGCCCACCAAGACGAUGAUGCGUAGCCGGCCUGAGAGGGUGAACGGCCACAUUAGGACUGAGACACGGCCCAGACUCCUACGGGAGGCAGCAGUAGGGAAUUUUCGGCAAUGGGGGCAACCCUGACCGAGCAACGCCGCGUGAGUGAAGACGGCCUUCGGGUUGUAAAGCUCUGUUGUAAGGGAAGAACGGUAGAUAGAGAAUAUCUAAGUGACGGUACCUUACCAGAAAGCCACGGCUAACUACGUG